UUGGAGGGCAAGUCUGGUGCCAGCAGCCGCGGUAAUUCCAGCUCCAAUAGCGUAUAUUAAAGUUGUUGCAGUUAAAAAGCUCGUAGUUGAAUUUCGGGAUCAAUAUAUCGGUCGUGCCUUCGGUACGUACUGGUAUCAUUGGUUUCUCCUUUCUGACGAACCAUGAUGUCAUUAAUUUGGUGUUAUGGGGAGUUAGGACUGUUACUUUGAAAAAUUAGAGUGUUUAAAGCAGGCAUUAGCUUGAAUACAUUAGCAUGGAAUAAUGAAAUAGGACGUUUGAUCCUAUUUUGUUGGUUUCUAGGAUUGACGUAAUGAUUAAUAGGGAUAGUUGGGGGCAUUAGUAUUCAAUUGUCAGAGGUGAAAUUCUUGGAUUUAUUGAAGACUAACUACUGCGAAAGCAUUUGCCAAGGAUGUUUUCAUUAAUCAAGAACGAAAGUUAGGGGAUCGAAGACGAUCAGAUACCGUCGUAGUCUUAACCAUAAACUAUGCCGACUAGGGAUCGGAUGAUGUUAAUUUUUUAAUGUACUCAUUCGGC
RNAcentral lists this ribosomal RNA (535 nucleotides) under uncultured Glomeromycotina. RNAcentral's name for it is "SSU rRNA". It matches the Rfam family "Eukaryotic small subunit ribosomal RNA", at positions 548 to 1084 of the family's 1831-position model. The record is from RNAcentral. Lineage: Eukaryota; Fungi; Glomeromycota.